GACGAACGCUGGCGGCGUGCUUAACACAUGCAAGUCGAACGGAAAGGCCCUGCUUUUGUGGGGUGCUCGAGUGGCGAACGGGUGAGUAACACGUGAGUAACCUGCCCUUGACUUUGGGAUAACUUCAGGAAACUGGGGCUAAUACCGGAUAGGAGCUCCUGCUGCAUGGUGGGGGUUGGAAAGUUUCGGCGGUUGGGGAUGGACUCGCGGCUUAUCAGCUUGUUGGUGGGGUAGUGGCUUACCAAGGCUUUGACGGGUCGCCGGCCUGAGAGGGUGACCGGCCACAUUGGGACUGAGAGACGGCCCAGACUCCUACGGGAGGCAGCAGUGGAGAAUAUUGCACAAUGGGCGGAAGCCUGAUGCAGCAACGCCGCGUGCGGGAUGACGGCCUUCGGGUUGUAAACCGCUUUCGCCUGUGACGAAGCGUGAGUGACGGUAAUGGGUAAAGAAGCACCGGCUAACUACGUG
Molecule: ribosomal RNA, 468 nt
Filed under: uncultured bacterium
Lineage: Bacteria
Description: partial 16S ribosomal RNA
Rfam family: Bacterial small subunit ribosomal RNA
Source: RNAcentral